GACAGAGGGGGCAAGCGUUGCUCGGAAUUACUGGGCGUAAAGGGCGCGUAGGCGGGAUGGCAAGUCGGUCGUGAAAUCCUUCGGCUCAACCGAAGAACGUCGAUCGAUACUGCUGUUCUUGAGGGUUGCAGAGGAGACUGGAAUUCCCGGUGUAGCGGUGAAAUGUGUAGAUAUCGGGAAGAACACCCGUGGCGAAGGCGGUUCUCUGGGACGGUACUGACGCUGAGACGCGAAAGCGUGGGGAGCGAACAGG
Molecule: ribosomal RNA, 253 nt
Filed under: uncultured bacterium
Lineage: Bacteria
Description: partial 16S ribosomal RNA
Rfam family: Bacterial small subunit ribosomal RNA
Source: RNAcentral